Acanthisitta chloris (rifleman) is the source of this 376-nucleotide long non-coding RNA. RefSeq lists it as uncharacterized. The record is from RefSeq and is a predicted model, not a curated record. Lineage: Eukaryota; Metazoa; Chordata; Aves; Passeriformes; Acanthisittidae. The transcript is spliced from 4 exons.
UAUUUUUUUUCCAGAACAAGGAAGUGACAUGCAAAAGGGAGAAGUGUCCAGUGGUCUCCAAGGACUGUGCUCUUGUCAUUAAGCAGAGAGGAGCUUGCUGUGAGCGUUGCAAAGAUUGCAGUUUUGGAGGAAAUACGUACAACAGCUCUAUGAAAUGGCACCUCCCGAGCAAUCCCUGUGUUACAUACCAGUGCCAGGAAGGAGUGAUAGUUGAGUCAGAAGUGCAGUGUGUCGUUCACUGCAAAAGCCCUACCAAACUCAGGGGAAUGUGUUGUCCUGUGUGUCCAGGUUGUGUAUUUGAAGGGAGACUUUACAAUGAAGGAGAAGAAUUUAGGCCUGAAGGAAAUAAAUGUACCAAGUGCUCUUGUAUUGUAAG